CUGGUACGCUAUUUAAUAUGCGAAAAAUAUAUUUGUGACUUUGAAGAUUAAUAUAAUUUCAAAAUAUUACAGUAUGUGUUUAUGUGAUAUUGCACAGUGGCACAAUUUUGACUCAAUGGUUAACUGACUCAGUCACAAUCUGCCUAUAUAAUCCAACUAAAGUCGACCGCUUUUCUGCUCAAACGUAAGGCAGCUGUGUCUUUGUUGUUGGAAAUUAUUUUCUUCUGUUUUCCCAUCCAAGUAAAACUAUAGCCAUCAAUAGAACCACAGCCCGUAAUUGCCAAUUACACAUAUCACUAUCUAUUGAAAACAAAAUCAAAAUCAUUUUAAGUAUUG
This is a non-coding RNA of Paramuricea clavata, 336 nucleotides long. Lineage: Eukaryota; Metazoa; Cnidaria; Anthozoa; Malacalcyonacea; Plexauridae. The record is from the annotation of a GenBank genome assembly.